Molecule: long non-coding RNA, 531 nt
Filed under: Marmota monax (woodchuck)
Lineage: Eukaryota; Metazoa; Chordata; Mammalia; Rodentia; Sciuridae
Source: RNAcentral
GGAUGACAUCUGCUUUGUUCACUGUCAUAUCCUCAGCACCCAGCAUGGAACCUGGCAUGAAGUAGAUGUUCUAAAAAUAUGUAUUUAAUGAAUGUUUAAACCUUCUUCUUUUGGUUAACCCUAUAGAAAUGUCUUUUCAGAAUUUAACAGGAUGCCUCCAACAUUUAUCAAAAGCUGAUAUGCUGAAUAUGAAUUUAAGAAAAAUGAAGAAGGUACAAUUUCAAGAAGGGGCUCUAUAACUGUACCUCCUGUUGGUUCUAAGCUGAACCACCUUCUUCCUUCUUGUCCUCCCUCCCUCCACCCCUUCUCUUCUUCAAUCUUGUUGAAUGGUCAAACGUUACAUACCGUGGCUAAAUUAUUCCUGAGCUCUCACUGAUCUAUAGAAUUCUUUCAGUUGCCUUUUCCCAGUGACUUUGGAGUAGCUGUGGAGAUGGGACUUUAAAUUUCCCUGGCAUCUCCCUCUAUUCACAAUCCAUCAAAUCCCUUCUCUUCAGAUAUGCCAACUGUAGCUCCUGAAGAAACAGAAAUGAC